GCCUUCAUGGUCUAGUGGUAAGAUACCUGCUUUGGGUGAAUCCUAUGCAGGUGAUCCUCGGUUCGAACCCGGGUGGAGGCC
This is a non-coding RNA of Schizophyllum amplum, 81 nucleotides long. Lineage: Eukaryota; Fungi; Basidiomycota; Agaricomycetes; Agaricales; Schizophyllaceae. The record is from the annotation of a GenBank genome assembly.